This is a ribosomal RNA of 902 nucleotides. It matches the Rfam family "Eukaryotic large subunit ribosomal RNA", at positions 37 to 965 of the family's 3401-position model.
AGCAUAUCAAUAAGCGGAGGAAAAGAAACCAACAGGGAUUGCCUCAGUAACGGCGAGUGAAGCGGCAACAGCUCAAAUUUGAAAUCUGGCCGCAAGGUCCGAGUUGUAAUUUGCAGAGGAUGCUUUUGGCGAGGUGACUUCCGAGUUCCCUGGAACGGGACGCCAUAGAGGGUGAGAGCCCCGUACGGUCGUGCCACCGAGCCUCUGUAAAGCUCCUUCGACGAGUCGAGUAGUUUGGGAAUGCUGCUCUAAAUGGGAGGUGUACGUCUUCUAAAGCUAAAUACCGGCCAGAGACCGAUAGCGCACAAGUAGAGUGAUCGAAAGAUGAAAAGCACUUUGAAAAGAGGGUUAAAAAGUACGUGAAAUUGUUGAAAGGGAAGCAUUCAUGACCAGACUUGGGCUUGGUUGAACAUCCGGCGUUCUCGCCGGUGCACUCUGCCAGCCCAGGCCAGCAUCAGUUUGCCCCGGGGGAUAAAGGCGGUGGGAAUGUGGCUCCCCACGGGGAGUGUUAUAGCCCGCCGCGCAAUGCCCUGGGGCGGACUGAGGUUCGCGCUCCGGCACGGAUGCUGGCGUAAUGGUCAUCAAUGACCCGUCUUGAAACACGGACCAAGGAGUCGUCUUCGUAUGCGAGUGUUCGGGUGUCAAACCCCUACGCGUAAUGAAAGUGAACGUAGGUGAGAGCUUCGGCGCAUCACCGACCGAUCCUGAUGUUCUCGGAUGGAUUUGAGUAAGAGCAUACGGGGCCGGACCCGAAAGAAGGUGAACUAUGCCUGUGUAGGGUGAAGCCAGAGGAAACUCUGGUGGAGGCUCGCAGCGGUUUCUGACGUGCAAAUCGAUCGUCAAACAUGGGCAUGGGGGCGAAAGACUAAUCGAACCUUUCUAGUAGCUGGGUUUCCGCCGAA